RNAcentral lists this small RNA (120 nucleotides) under Flavobacteriaceae bacterium. Its description in RNAcentral is "6S RNA". It matches the Rfam family "6S-Flavo RNA". The record is from RNAcentral. Lineage: Bacteria; Pseudomonadati; Bacteroidota; Flavobacteriia; Flavobacteriales; Flavobacteriaceae.
ACUCAACGCUAUAUAUUUAAAAAGGGUGAGUCUCGGUUAGUAAAGCGUGCCGUGCCGAUUUAUCGGCUUAGCGGAUACUUGAUCAGCUGGUUAACCCUAAACUUGUCUUACAAGGAGUUU